RNAcentral lists this ribosomal RNA (468 nucleotides) under uncultured bacterium. RNAcentral describes it as "partial 16S ribosomal RNA". It matches the Rfam family "Bacterial small subunit ribosomal RNA", at positions 28 to 507 of the family's 1533-position model. The record is from RNAcentral.
GACGAACGCUGGCGGCGUGCUUAACACAUGCAAGUCGAACGGAAAGGCCCUGCUUUUGUGGGGUGCUCGAGUGGCGAACGGGUGAGUAACACGUGAGUAACCUGCCCUUGACUUUGGGAUAACUUCAGGAAACUGGGGCUAAUACCGGAUAGGAGCUCCUGCUGCAUGGUGGGGGUUGGAAAGUUUCGGCGGUUGGGGAUGGACUCGCGGCUUAUCAGCUUGUUGGUGGGGUGGUGGCUUACCAAGGCUUUGACGGGUAGCCGGCCUGAGAGGGUGACCGGCCACAUUGGGACUGAGAUACGGCCCAGACUCCUACGGGAGGCAGCAGUGGGGAAUAUUGCAUAAUGGGCGGAAGCCUGAUGCAGCAACGCCGCGUGCGGGAUGACGGCCUUCGGGUUGUAAACCGCUUUCGCCUGUGACGAAGCGUGAGUGACGGUAAUGGGUAAAGAAGCACCGGCUAACUACGUG